AGUGCCAUUUCUGAAACAUAUGGUAAGCAUAUGCUUAGUUUUAUAAAAAUUCACCAACCUGUUUUACAAAAUGGCUACACCAUUUUCCAUUUCUAAAGGCAAU
Molecule: microRNA precursor, 103 nt
Filed under: Marmota monax (woodchuck)
Lineage: Eukaryota; Metazoa; Chordata; Mammalia; Rodentia; Sciuridae
Source: RNAcentral